Molecule: unclassified non-coding RNA, 286 nt
Filed under: Scytonematopsis maxima LCR-FBC
Lineage: Bacteria; Bacillati; Cyanobacteriota; Cyanophyceae; Nostocales; Scytonemataceae
Description: partial 16S-23S ribosomal RNA intergenic spacer
Source: RNAcentral
ACAGGGAGACCAACUCAACAGUACCAGCAGACAGUUACUGAUAACUGCUAACUGCUAACUGAUUGUAGAAUCCCAGGUCGUGCGAGUCAUCUGAAUGAAGCUUUCAAACUAUUAGUGGUUCGGUUUUUGAUCACGAAUGAUUUCAGCACCUAGACUUACUGAGUAAGUGAGAAUGCUGGGAUAAAACCAGCCAGAACCUUGAAAACUGCAUAGUAACGCGAAAAUUGUAGGCAGCUUUUACUGAUGGUCAAAAAUCAGUGAUGAAAAAUUUACAGACACCAAGAAA